CAAAUGUGUCUAAUGGUCUAACCAAUAUGUACAUUCUCCCUUGUAAAGACCCCAGCUGCCCAACUACAUUUCCCAUCCUGGGUUCCCUUAUAUCCCUGUAACUACUCCCCACCAUGAAAUGUGAGUGGAAGGGAUGGGUAUCACAUAUGGGUUGAAGUUUUUAAGAAGCGGGUGUGCCUUCUGCAUUCUUUCCUCUUCUGCCAAAGGCCCCAAAGUUCUACGAGAUGGUUAAGGUGACCAACUGUCCUGGUUUGCCCUGGACUGAGGGAGUUUCUGGAAUGUGGGGCUUUCAGUUUCAAAACUGGGACAGUCCAGGAAAACGGGGGAUUUACUGGUCACCCUAAGAGACUUUUAUGGGUGUGAAACAGGACUUUUAUGUCCCAUAUGGGACUUUUAUGUAAUUGUGAAAUAAGCCAGGAAAAUUUUGAAGUUAAUUCGUUGCUACUUACUAGCUUUAUCCUAACUAAUACAGAUUGGAAUUACUACUCAGGAAGUGGCCUUGUUCAGAUAGACACAUGUCAAUGAGAGGAUAUCAAAAAGCAGAAAUGCUGGCUCUCGUCCUCAGCAGCUCCAUGAUCUAGAAUGUAUUGUUGGCCUAAUCUUCUAGUUGGAGUAGAUUAAUGGUUCUCAAAGCAUGGUGUGAGAAUCCACAGGGUUCCCUAAGAUCUCAGGGUGUCCAUGAGGGCAAAACUAUUUUCAUAACAGUGGCAGAUGUUAUUACCUUUUCAUUCUCAUGCUAUUAGGAGUGUGCAGUGGGAUUUUCAAGAGGCUACACGAGGUGUGAUGAUGUCAUGGAUCUGGUGGCUGAUGGACUAUGUGUUUGUGAAUUAUUGUGUUUUAAAAUUGUCUUGGUCUUAAUUUCUAAUAUGGUCAAUAUUAAUAGAUGUAACUCACACUCCAAAAACUCUUCAGGGUCAUUAAUGAUUUUUAAGAGUGUAAGAACUCCUGAGACCAAAAAGUUUGAGAACUGUUGAUGUGAAUAAUUUCUAAGGUUUUGUAUAUUUCUCAAAGUUUGUGAAUUAGUACUCAUAUAUACCCAAGCCAGCUACAGAACUUUCUUUUUUUUUGAGAUAAGGUCUUGCUGUGUUGCCCAGGCUGGAGUGCAAUAAUGGCACACUGCAGCCUAGAGAGCCUGGGCUCAAGUAAUCCUCCUACCUCAGCCUCCUGAGCAGCUAGAACUCCAUGCAUGCACCCCCAUGCCCAGCUAAUUUUUUUUUAUUUUUUGUAGAGAUGGGGGUCUCAUUAUGUUGCCCAGGCUGGUCUGGAACUCCUGGCCUCAAGAGGUCUUCCUGCCUCAGGCCCCCAAAGUACUUACAGGUGUGAGCCACCAUGCCUAGCCUCAUUACAGAAUUUUUAAGUUGAUAUGUCUUUCAUUAUUUUUCCAUCUCUAUCUCUAUUUUUUUGUGUGUGUUCUAUCUCUCUUUUUUUUUGAGACUGAAUCUCACUCUGUCACCCAGGCUGGAGUGCAGUAGCAUGAUCUUGGCUCACUGCAACCUCUGCCUCCCAGGUUCAAGCAAUUCUCCUGCCUCAGCCUCCUGAGUAGCUGGGAUUACAGGCGUGUGCCACCAUGCCAGGCUAAUUUUUGUAUUUUUAGUGGAGGGGGUUUCACCAUGUUGGCCAGGCUGGUCUCGAACUCCUGACCUCAGGUGAUCCACCUGCCUGUCUCAGCCUCCCAAAGUGUUGGGAUUACAGGCAUGAGCCACCACAGCCAGCCACUUUUUUUUUUCCAUCUUAAGCUGUGGUGGGGAUAAAAAAUGUUUUGGAAUCUAUUAUUAAAAGAUCUCUUUCCAGAAAAGUAUAGACACUUCCUGUUUUAUAUAUUAGGAAUUAUACAGAGUUAUUCCCCUUAUGAUAUGGGACGGUUGCCUUAAACAAAUCAUAAAGUAGCAAAAAUUAAAGUAUAUUUUUUCCCUUCAGAGGAAGGACAUUUUGCCGUUUCAGACAAGUAAAUCUGACAAUUAUGUUUCCAGCAACCUUAGAGAAAUAGCUGUUGUGCUCACCCAGGGUUCUGGAUAAAGAUGCUUAGUGUACUUUCCUUGGAAGCAAAUCAAAUGCAAAUUUGGUUGUGUCUCUCUCUUGCUUAGACGCUUUCAGUAGCUUCCCUUGGGUCCUUAGGAUAAAGCCCCAACUUAUUCAAAGUCCUUUCAGGUCUUCACCUGCACACUCCCUACCCUGGUCUCCCUUCUGUGUGUUUUCUGUCUGGUUCUCUUUACUGAACCUCACAAGGGCUGACAGACGUGAACCCUGUUUCAGUUUCUGCUUAAAAGCCUUUUCUCCAGCCUGAUUUAUAAUCUCAGUGCACCUAUACUUCUAACACCUCAGAAACUCACUUGUAAUUCUCUGUUCCAGGAUGCCCACUGGAUCCAAAGAGAGAAACUCUAUAGAAUUAUGAUCUAGGUUUGACUGACUCCUGGCAAGAAGCCCUACCCGCCAGCCAAUUUGGAUGAGGUGAGGGCUUUUUCUUAUCCCGCAAAGGAGAUGUGCAACAUGCUGCUCAGGCUUUUGAAGAAAUGACUCAGAAAAGGGCUGUCCUCAUAGCCAAAUAACAAAAUGUUUACUGAAAAUGCAAAAGUGAAGUCAUCAAAUACCUGAAUUCACUGGACAUUGGUAAAUUUAGAAAAAGCCAAGAUCUGUCAUCUAUUCAUACACACACACACACACACACAGACAUACACACACAGACACACACACACAGACACACACAUACACAGACAUACACACACACAGACAUACACACACACACACACACACACGCACAAACACGAACACCAGAGAUCAAUUCAAAAUCCAGAUUGUCAUUUGAGGAAUGUAUAGUUGCUAAUUUAUUUUGACAAAUUCAUGGAGUUGAUUUAAAUUAUUUAUGAUAAUGCUUCACAGUAUAUUUUAUAAAAGUAAUGAAAGUGUAAUUUUAAAAACGUUCUUGGCUUUUACACUUUUCUUGGGGAGAAAUGAAAUAAUGCUAUUUUUUUCUUUUAAAAAGCAUUGAAACACCAGAACUUAUGGAGUGAAAAUAUGAAGGAAGUCUGUUUAUAUUUUAGGAAAUAUAUAUACUUCUACAAACAAACCUAGUAGAAUAUCUGACACAAAAACCGUACAGGCCUCUCCCAGCUCCUUAUAUGAACUCAGCUGCUGGUGAAUGAGGAGAUAAUUCACCCAUCUAUAUACAUAAAUUUCUGGAUAAUAAUAAUGAUAAUGGUAAUUGGCAUUUACUAAGCUCUUACUGUGUUCUGAACACCUUAUUUGCAUGAUAUCUUUGAAUGCUUAUAACAUUCUAGAAGGUAGGUGCUGUAUUGUUUCCGAUUUAUAAAUAAGAAAAUUGAGCCACAGAGAAGUUAAGUGACUUACCCAAAGUCACACAGCAACAAAGAUAAAAUUCAAAAUGAUGUAGGCUUACUUCAUAGCCUAGUAUUCUUUACUCCUAAGCCAUACUGGGUUGUACAGUAAUUGCUAAAGGAACAAAUUUCAAAGUCUUCCUUGUAGGUAACCUUUCUUUCUAUUUGUACAAAGGAUUAUAAACUGUAAGAAGUUUUAUGGCAUGUUGAAUUAGCUCAGUAGUUCAAUUGUAAGAGUUUCUCAUUAAUUAUUUAAAGCUAUUCAUUUUUAUUAGGAGUACCAGAGCUAGACUCAGGACAAACCUCUAUUUCAUUCAAUUCAAUUUAGCUCAAUUUAGUUCAUGUUAUUGAAUAUACAUUACAUGCUGGGUUUGGGGAGGGAAGAUUGUAACUGUAAUUAGAAAGGUAUUAUCUCUGCUUUCUAGGAACACAGAAUCACUUGUGGAAUUAAGAGAUAAGGACAGCAAGUAGACCAAACUAUAAGCUGAGGUUCAAGGUGGCAUAGGCUGGGUGCCACAGUGCUGUGUCUCAGGUGGGCUAGAAGUGCGAAACGGACAGUACCAGAAGGAAAACUUGAGGGUAAACUUGGGUUUUUUACCAUUCCCAGCCUUAGGAGGCCAAAGGCUGAACAAAUACUUGUCAAAUGAAUGAUUAAGAUCCCUUAAGGUACUAAGUAGGAUAUGAAAAAAAUUCGUGGAGAAGAAAGCAUUUGAAGUGAAUAUCUUUAAAUUUUAGGGGAGAAGAGCAUUACAUUCUGAGAUUGCAGGAUAUGCAGAGGGCAGAUGCUUAAUAUAAAAGUGCUUAAAAUGAUGAUGGCAGAAGCCUGCUGAAUGAUGUGGAAUAAAGAAGUAUGUGAUAAUGAUUAUGACUUGACUAACAUCUAUUAUACAUCUCCAUUGUGCCAGCUGUUUUCAAGGGCUUAAUCUUAUUUGCUCUGCAGAAAUUCAGUUUUGGUGGUAGACAUAAAGGUGCAACCUUGUUCUCCCUUCAAAGAGAAAGUGCUUCCCAGCUGUAGGGGGUGUGGUCAGCAUACAGCCUCUGUUCAGCUCUCAGCUCCUUCAGAGUUGGCCUAGGCAGCAGACAGGCACCUGGCCCAUAAUUGUGCCCUUUUUAGGGAAAGCCCAUGUCCCAUAAUUGAGGAAGAGAUAUAGAGGUCAGGUCAUUCCCACCCAACAUAGACAGACUCUGUAGGGUUUUGUUUGCUCCUGAGCUCCCUCCAGGAUUGGCUAUGGCACUGUUAGGCUUUCAUUGCUCCCUUCCCUUCCCAUCACAGCUCAAUUCCUAAUCAAUGUCUUGCUUAGUUUAGAGUCUGCUUCCAGAAAACCUAAUCUGCAAGACCGUUAAUCUCCCACAUUGACAGGCUGGAAACUGGAACACUGAGAGUCGAUGCAUUUCCCCAAGGCCACACAACUAGUGAAUAGCAGAGCCAGGUUUUAAAUUAAGAUUCAUUUAACUUCUAAUUGAGGUUCUCCUCAGAACCCCACACUGGCUACAGGACCAACCUGUAUUUAGCCAAAGUUGCAUUCUCGCACAUGCACACAUCAACAGGAAUCUCUCCACUUGUCGGCCCAGAUAGAUGUUUUCUGUCAGGAGAGCUCUGAGUCAUCUGUGCCCCCUAGAGGAAGCCAAAACUCUAGGUCAUCUGUGCCCACUCUUGGCUUGAUUACCCCUAUCAAUCUUUCAAGUCUUAAUUCCUAAAUCAAAAUUAAGUUUUCUGGUUACAAGCUUUCGUAGUACCUGUCAUAGCACUGGACACAAUUUGCAAUCACAUAUUUAUUUUCUCCUGUUUGUUUGCUCCACUAGGCUAUAACUUCAGGAGGGCAUGGAUUAUGUUUGUUGAGUUUAGCACUAACUUCCUAGCACUUUCCCAUACUUUUGGGUGUGAUAGGAGCUCAAUGUACAUUUAUUAAAGGGCUGAGUUAAGGGUGUAUGAUAAAUCCUGGGUACUUAUCUCAGUCAAUAUUAUUUCUAGUUUUCUUCUCUUAUGGAACUAUAUAAGAUAUUCACAAAAAUAUCAUUAUAUUAUGGCAGAUAUUAAUUAUUAUGAUUAUGAUUGUUUUUAGGCUCACACCAUACCUUAGACCAUUUUCAAAUGACCAAGUUGGAUGGUCAAAAAUUAAUAACUUACUCGGAAACUGUCCUUAUAUUUUUUUGCUGAAGUCAUGUUUAAUUUUCUUCAGGAGAGAUCUUGAUCCUAAGACAAUGCUGACAUUUCCCAAGAGUGGGAAUUCCAUGAGCUUUCUCAGAUGGCUGCCCCAAUGUCUGGAAACCUCUUGAAGGUGAUCUCUAUCAUUUUGUCCACCUAGAUAUUUGAUUCAUAAACUCAUUCUUUAAAACCAAAGUCAUGGGUGGCACCCUUUGACCUCGUUAAAGCUCAUAAAUCUCCCCUUUGUGAAGAUUUUUCAUCUUGAAAUGUGGCAAAGGUGUGAACUAUUGAAGAGGUGUUCUCUUGAACAUUUGCCCUACAAACUCACCCAAUAGAAAACCAGAUUCAGGCAUUUCCGACAUGGGUCACUUCUCAGAAAGGCUAUUUCAACUUCACUCUAUAUUAUGAAGAUUUUAUAGACUUCAGUUAUGCAGACUUUUUAGCUUUUUCAUUUUCAGACUAGUCCGACUUGUUUUUUUAUAAUUUUAAAUGUAUUCAAAAAAGUCAUAUUUUCAGACAUCAUAUGUGUUUCCAUUUGUGAGUUUUUCUGGUGUAUAGAGAUUAUGAAAUUCAAGUGGGAGGGAAAAUGUUUGUUGAAGGCUCAUUCUUCUAGAGUUGCUCUAAAACCAAAUUUAAACUAAUCUCUAACAGUUGUGACUUAGAAUUAGAAAACUCAGUCUUUAGGCUCUGUUGUCUAACAGCUGUGUGUGUUUCUACAAUUUACUUAACUGCUGAAUCCAGUUUUUUGUUUUGUAAGAUAGGAAUAAUAAUUCCUGUUAGUGACCUAGUAGGAAUGUAUUAGAGAAUUAAGUGAGAAACGGCAAAAUCCCUUCUGAACCCCAAUAAACAUAAGCUACUUUUAUUACCGAUCUUUUUUUGGAUCUUUUUGUUAGAUAUGAGUUCUAAAUUUCUUUUCAAAGAAUUAAUAUGUCAGUAUGUUCAAUUCUUUGCCGUCUACUUUUAAACUUAACUUCCUCGUAAAGCAACCUUUUUCAAUCACCUGCUCCACCCUACACUCCAAUCACCUGCUCCACACUAACUCAUUCCAAUUACCUGCUACCUGCUCUGCCCUGAUUCCCGCCAAAGCACUCACCCCGUCAUUCUCUUUAAAUUAGCCAAUCGGAAUUAGUUUAGCCUGUGUGGUCUAACCCUAGCCAAUAGGGGAAGGACACAUUAGGGGCCACGUGCGUCAGGGAUAAGAACCCCUUCCCCUCCCUUGUCCAAGUGUGCACUCACCAUUGUUUCAUCUGUAAGGGCGCAACUUUCUAUAUAGAAGUAACUUGCCUUGCUGAGAAUUAAAAAGAAAAUUUUAUAUUCGAGUGCUCUUUCUUUUGUGGCACCGAAACUUUAUAUAUAACAUUUUCUGAACAAUGUUGUAGCAAUGCUAUUGGUACCCACCCCCCUCAUAUUCCCUGGAGCUUUACUAUUGUAGUGCCCACAGGCCCAUCUCUAAUUACCAGCAUUUGCCUCUCUUUGCGCAAGGACUUACUCUGACAGCCAGCUUCUGGUAUAUGCUCACAAAAAGCAGGCUGAAACCAGAGAAUUAGCAUGCCCAGAUCAGUCUACAACCAAUGACUGAAGGAAGUUGGUAUAUAAAUACCUUGGCUGCCCUGUCCAUCAGAUGGGAUUACACUGAGGCUUAUAGUCUACACUGGAUCUCAGUUUCCCUAGAGCUAUUAAGCUGCAGGUGCCCACAGUGACAACCGGCUCAAUUAUACACCAUUUUUGGCUUCCUGAAUCAUUUAUUGGCUUUAUUCCAUUCCACUUUCUGAUUUACUUCUCCACUUUCUAACUGAUAUUUCCUGGAAUUACCUUUCAAGUUAACUACUUGUACUUGAAUUCUUGUCUCAGGCUUUGCUUCUGAGGGAUUCCCAAACUAAGACAGUGUUUAUAUGAAUUACAAUUGUUUUGCAUGGAAGUGAUAUACACUUACUUUAACUCAACAGAGCUUAGAUCCGAACAAAGAAAAAAUCAGUUCAUUGACUUAUAUUAAUGCAAUGUCUAAAGAUGACAGAAUCUUAUUUAAGAAUGGCUAGAUACAGGAAACUUAUACAAUGCCAUUGACUUUUUUUUCUCUCACUCUCUGUCUCUCUGUUUUUCUCUCUCCCUCACACACACACACACACACACACACACACCCCUACCUGUUUUCCUCUAUGUACUUAUUUUAGGAUAGAAAAGAUGGUGCUGUAAUGUCACUCUAAGCUUACAUUGCCUCUACAGCAUGAAAUAGCUGAGAAAGUAAAAUUGUCUUUUGUUCAUAUCCAUAUCAAUUCCAGAAAGAGUCUCAAAUUGUCAGUAUUUUCAAUGUAUGCUGACCUCUAGAAAAAAUGACUGGGUCCAGGUGGCUGAAAUAUGCUAGGUGGUCAUGCCAGGGAAGGUGACAACUCUAGCAGAGCUAUAUGAAAUAUGCGGGAGUGAGCUUGACUUUAAAAUGAUAAGUGCAGCAACAAGCAUCCCACAAAGUAAAAAAUACUAUCUAGUGUUUCCAUCCUUUUUUUUUUUUUUUUUUUUUUUUUUUUUUUUUUUUUUGAGACGGAAUUUCACUCUUUUUGCCCAGGCUGGAGUGCAAUGGCAUGAUCUUGGCUCACAGCAACCUCCGCCUACUGGGUUCAGCGAUUUUCCUGCCUCAGCCUUCCAAGUAGCUGGGAUUACAGGCAUGUGCUACCACACCUGACUAAUUUUGUAUUUUUAGUAGAGACGGCGUUUCUCCAUGUUGGUCAGGCUGGUCUCGAACUCCCAAAAUCAGGUGAUUCGCCCAUCUCAGCCUCCCAAAGUGCUGGGAUUACAGGUGUGAGCCACCACGCCCUGCUGUUUCCAUCUUUUUUUUAAUGAUAUCUUACAUUUUUGGACCUUUUCAUCUCAACAGAAGCAAUUACUAAUAUAAUAUCACAGUUGGACCAGUGACUCCUUUCCCAGGUUCAGAAUCGAUGGAUCAGAUGUCAUCAUACUAUAAUGGAGGGACAGGCAAAUAAUAUACUCAUUAAAUAGUAAAAAUAGUGGUUACUGUUUGUCAAACACACAUAGCAUAAGUUCUAAAUUCCAUGCUAGGUAUUUUACAAAGGUGAUUCUACUUAAAUCCCAGAAACAAACCCUGCGACUAGUCAUAGGUGUGACUAGGAUUUUUAUUUAAUGAAUGAAGAAACUAAAGCUUAGUGAAAUUAGAGACUUGCUGAAGGUUUUCUUUUUUUUUGCUCGUUGAUUGAAGAGGCAAUAUUUGCAUCCAGGUCUGUGUAGUUCAAAACCCAUUUCUUAGCCACCUUGCUGCGUUGCCAGCUUGAAGCACUGGUGCUUUGAGAACAUUGCUUUUGGUGGACUUAUUCUAAUACUCAUCUGCCCUUAGGUUCCUUUGCAUUCAUUUUUUGGUGGAACAUUCGGAGUCAAUGAAAGCAAUUUGAACUCUAGGAGAAGAUCAACUCUUUCCUUCAAAUCUCAUACUUCAGGUUGCAGACUUUUUGGUUCACACUAAAUCCUUGCGAUCUGAGAACCUGAAAACCUUACACUCAGAAUCAAUGGGCCUAGAAAAACCUUUUUAUCUAGCUGUAGCACAACCAGAGCUAACUAAGUUACCAUAUUGGUUGUCCUUUUCCAGUUAGCCUAAUGAAGUCUCCUGAUGGAGUAGGCAAUAGAUCAGACCGGAUUUAAUGAAAACAGAAUUAAUUCAUGGAGUUGUUUCAUCAGCUUUCCAAGACCAUCUCUCUCACUCGGACUGUAGGCAGCAGUUCUAAAUAUCUGGCACUCUGUAAAAAAUAACUCUAUUUGCAUUCUUUUUAUACACUUUGAGAUUUUGUUAUUAUUUAAAGAUAUAAGAGGUAACUGAAGUGUGAAUCUAAUUAUCUUCAUGAUCAGUUGACAAAUGAAUUACCCACAUAGUUGAAAGUGCUAAAUUCUCUCAUUGGUUUGCCAAAUAUUGAUUACUCUCUUUUUUGUAUGUCAGACACUAUCCUAGGUGCUGGGGACAUAGCAGUGAUCCAGAUGGAAACAAGUUGCCCCACAAAUAAAUAUAUAAUUACAUAUUAUGAUAAGAAUUAGAAGAGAGUUUAACAGGCAGACUUGUAUCAGUCAGGCUCCAGUGAAGAAAAGAGAAAAAACUCUAGGUAUUUUAAGCAGGAUAUGGAUUAAUUCAAGGAAGAGGAUGUUUGUAAAACUCUUUUGAAGGGCUGAAGAGGCAGUUUAAUCCUGGGUCUUCAGGGGUAUUUCUCAGAACACUGCAGAGCUGGCCCCCCUGGGGAGCUCCCAUAUGGAACUUUGCAGGUCAAGAACACACUGCCACUUGCUUAAAUUCUCUUAUUGAAACUGUGUCUGAACACCUGGGUCGCUACAAAAUGGAUAUCCAAGGCUGUGAUUCAUGAUUUAGCAAGCCAGUCAACAUGCCACGAUUGCCACUAAUGCCCCUGCACCCACUAAGUUCAUUCUCAGGAAUUUGAAAACUGGCACAGUACAGAGAAACCUCAUGUUUCCAUGAUAGUGCUUGCUAGUAGAAACUGCCAGGUGGAACCACAUUAGCAUCCAGACCCUUAGCUGCAAGGGAGUCAGUAGUGCAGUUAGUAGCAUUCUAUCCUCUUCAAAUAGGAGGAGAGUGGAAUGGAGAGUGAGUGAGAUGAUCUACAAUGUCCAGCACAGGAUGUUGAUUGAGUUUGAAGCUGGUGAAGACUUCUUUCAGGUAGUAAUAUUUCAGCUGAGACACAAAAAAUGAGCUGAAGGACAGCAGCCAAGGAGUUCAGUGUGCUCCACAUGGAAGGAAUAACAUGAGAAAAGGCCUUGCAUUGGGAAGGUGUUUGGUGUGUUUGCACAGCUGGAUGGGAGAGUGGUGGGGCAGAAUUAGUCAGAAGGAAUGGUACACAGCUGGAGAGGUGGGAAGGACCUGGUGUGUAGGCUCUUCUUGAUCAUGUUAAAGACUUAGGAUUUUUCUAUAACUGCAAUAGGACCAUUUAAGUAGGGGAAGAAAUCAAUCUGCUUUAUAUUUAUAAAGGUUACUCUUGCUGAUGUCUGACAACAGUUUAAAAGAUGGUAGUUUAGAGGAGGGUGUUUUCAGUGGAGGUAUUGGAGAGGAAUGGAGUAAUAGGAAUUACAUUUUGGAGGCAGAGCUAAUAGGACUUGAUGUUAGGCCAGUUGAAACAGAGGCAGGGGUAGGGAAGAGAAGCACCCAAGCAUGGCCCCUGAGUUUCCCAUGUGAGUACGUGGAUGGGAUGUUCAUACCACAAAGUGCAAUUGGUAAGAUGCAUAGAACAUGUUCUGUGGCAAGAUCAAUAUUCUGUUGGACAUAUUAUGCUUGAGAUGCCCCUGAAACAUCCAAAAGGAGAUUUCCAGCCUGUCUAGAAAUGCAUGCAUGUCUAGAUAAUGAUUGGUAUGAACAUGCAGGUGGACCUUGGGGAAGCCAGAGUGAAAAACAGGUAUAACCUAAAUGAGUCAGUGCAGCAAGGAUUAUGCAUUAAUCUACUCCAAAAGGAAAAAAAAAUCUAAAGGUAGUACAGAUGUAACUGACCACACAGUAGUAGUAGUAAUAGUUCUUGUUUUUCCUCUUGCCUCUUUGUUCUCCUCUUCCUGUUUCCCCCUUUUCCUUCCGUCUCUUCCUCCUCUUCUUAUUUCUCCUUCUUUUUCUCUCUUCCUUCAAAACAUUCUUCUACGUUAAUCUUCAGGCUGUUUCUUUUAUUUUGAGCACAACCUCAACCUGUAAGAGCUUCCACAAAAAGAAUUAUUCUAAACUUUUAAAUUGUGCUGAUUCUUUGGAGGGUUGUUUUGUCAGGUAAAAGUUACAUUGUUAUCUGUUUUAUCUUCAUUUCUUUUUCUGGUUUGAGAGAGAACUGAGGAAAAGAACAAGAUAUUGUGUAGAUUAUUUUUCUUCUGGUCUUUGGGGCAAGCCAAGAUCUUGGUUAUAAAGAAGUACAGAAAUCAGCAACAGUAAUAUUUGGAGUGAGGGAUGUGUGAGCUGACUUUACAUACAGGCCUUUUUUAAAUGGAAAGAGUCAACAAAAUAGAGAGCAACUUGGAAGGGGGAGAAAAAACAAACUGAAACAAAACAAAAUUGCUAAGCAGAAGAGCCAAAUAUGAUAGAAGAUGAGUGACAGCUAAUUAACACUUUCCAUUGAUUUUAUAGAAGACAAAGUUUCUGUAUAAAAAAAUGUGGAAAUUUGCAAUUAAGUAGAAUAGAUUGGAGAGGAGAGAGAGAGAGAGAAAUGGAGCAAGAACAUUGAAAAAUAAAUAUCAUCCUGAAACUUGCCUUUCAGUAAAAUUGAAAGGGGCCUCUCCAUAGGUUGUCUGGACUUCCUCACAGCAUGGUGGCUGGGUUUCAAGAACAACCAUCCCAAGAGAACCAGAUAGAAGCUGCAUUCCCUUUUGUGACCUUGCCUCUGAAAACACAUAAUGUCAAUUCUCCCAUAGUUACAGGUACACCCAGAUUUAAGGCAAAGGAACAAAGACCUUACUUCACAAUGAAAGGAGUUUUAAGGCAUCAUUGAAAGAAGAUCAUGGGAGAUAGGAAAUACUGUUAUGGCCAUUCUGGAAAAUAUAGUUUACCACACUAUCCAGAAACAGGGUGCUCUUUUUAUUUAUUCAAGUCUUCUGUUGUGUCUCUCUAUAGAUUUUUAGAUUUUGUUCACAGAGAUUGGGCAAAUCUUAUUUUCUUUUUUAAUUUUUAAAUUUUUAAAAAACUUUUAAGUUCAGGGGUACAUGUGCAGGAUGUGCAGGUUUGUUACAUAGGUAAACGUGUCAUGGAGGUUUGUUGUACAGAUUAAUCACUCAAGUAUUAGGCCUAGUAUCCAUUAGUUAUUUUUCCUGAUUCUCUCCCUCCCCACACCUUCUGCCCUUUGGUACGCCCCAGUGUGCAUUGUUCCCCUCUAUGUGUCCAUGUGUUCUCAUCAUUUAGCUCCCACUUAUGAGUGAGAACAUACGGUAUCUGGUUUUCUGUUGCUGCAUUAGUUUGCUAAGGAUAAUGGCCUCCAGCUCCAUCCAUGUCCCUGUAAAGGACAUGAUCUCAUUCCUUUUUAUGGCUGCAUAGUAUUCCAUUGUGUAGGUGUACCACAUUUUCGUUAUCUGAUCUGUUAUUAUUGGGCAUUUAGGUUGAUUCCAUGUCUUUGCUAUUGUGAAUAGUGUUGCAAAAAAAUAUGUGUGCAUGUGUCUAUAUAAUAGAACAAUUUAUAUUCCUCUGUGUAUAUACCCAGUAAUGAGAUUGCUGGGUUGAAUGGUAUUUCUGUCUCUAGGUCUUUGAGGAAUUGCCACAGUCUUCCACAAUGGUUUAACUAAUUUACACUCCCACCAUCAGUGUAAAAGUGUUCCUUUUUCUCCACAACCUUGCCGGCAUCAGUAGUUUUUUGACAUUUUAAUAUAUAAUUAUAGCCAUUCUGAUGGGUGUAAGAUGAUAUCUCAUUUUGAUUUUGAUUUGUAUUUCUCUAAUAAUCAGUGAUGUUGAACUUUUUUACAUAUGAUUGUUGGCUGCACAGAUGUUUUCAUUUGAGAUGUGUCUGUUCAUGUCCUUUGCCCACUUUUAAAUGGGUUUGGUUUUUUUCUUGUAAAUUUGUUUAAGUUCCUUUUGGAUAUUGGAUAUUAGACCUUUGUCAGAUGCAUAGUUUGCAAAAAUUUUCUCCUAUACUGUAGGUUGUCUGUUUACUCUGUUUAAAUAGUUUCUUUAGCUAUGCAGAAGCUCUUUAGUUUAAGUAGAUCCCAUUUGUCAAUUUUUGCUUCUGUUGCAAUUGCUUUUAGUGUCUUCAUCAUGAAAUCUUUGCCCGUACCUGUGUCCAGAAUGGUAUUGGCUAGAUUUUCUUCUAGGGUUUUUAUAGUUUUGGGUUUUACAUUUAAGUCUUUAAUCCAUCUUGAGUUUAUUUUUGUAUAUAGUUUAAGGAAUGGGUGCAGUUUCAAUUUUCUGCAUAUAGCUAGCCGGUUCUCCCAGCACCAUUUAUUAAAUAGGAAAUCCUUUCCCCAUUGCUUGUAUUUGUCAGGUUUGUCGAAGAUCAGAUAGUUGUAGGUGUGCAGUUUUAUUUCUGGGUUCUCUAUUCUGUUCCGUUGGUCUAUGUGUCUGUUUUGUACCAGUACCAUGCUGUUUUGGUUACUGUAGCCCUGUAGUAUAGUUUGAAGUCAGGUAGUGUGAUGCUUAGAGGGCACAUUUUAAAUAGGGUAUUUAGAGUUAUGAUGUUUCAUUUGGUGCUAUUGUCAUGAGAACAUUUUCUUUAAUUGCAUUUCCUAACUGAUUAUUGCUUGUACAGAAAAGCUAAGGUAUUCAUGUGCUAAUUUUGUAGCCAUUCACAUUAGUAAAUGUCCUGGGGAAGUACCAAUUUGAAACAUUCCUCAGUUACCAGGUCAUAAUGUGUUUGUGGUAAAUUUUUACUGUCUUGUGACAAAGUUUCAAUAGUUUACUCAAACCCAAAAUACAACAGAAAUAGAGAAUCUUUCUUUUAUUGUAUCAUUCACCAAAAGUGUCUCUGAUUCAAACUUAGUAAAUCUACUUUAUCUUUGUAUAAAACAAAGAUAUAUACUUUGUCAUAGAUAUAUGCUAUGCUUUCACAGAUAUAUGCUAUGACAUGAUGGAAGAAAUAAUUCUGCUUAUGGACCUUUUGGGGAGCUUGUGCCUUUCAAGGUCUGCAUUUUACAAAAUAUAUGGAAGAGUUUGAAGUUGGCAAUUUAUUUUAAUGUGGUCAUAAAGCUAGAUUGUAGAACAUUGCUGAAGUUUCACAUUGAGCAGAUUCCAUAGACCAAGACCUUUUUGGAAUUAAAGGACAGUUUGAGACUCAACUUGCUGACUUGUUCUGGCUCAAAAACUAUACCUCUUUACUGAUAAAACUACAAUUUUUACUGAACAAAGUAAACCUGAAGGCAGAACACUAUUCUCAAUCUGCAAAGAAGUAAGGGUGUUCAGAUUCCAAAUGAAUCUAUAAAGCAAAUAUCAAUUUUUAUUCUUCACUGGUAAAAAACUCUAAGCUCAAUGGAAUUACACUUACGUAAGGAUUGCAGAGUGUAUUACUGAGGGUUCUCCAGAGGGACAGAACGAAUUGAAUAUAUGUUUAUAUUGAAAGGAGUUUAUUAAGGAGAAGUGACUCACAUGAUCACAAGGUGAAGUCCCAUGAUAGGCCAUCUGCAAACUGAAGAGGUAGGAAGCCGUUAGUGGCUCAGUGCAAAAGCCUUAAAAGUGGGAAAACUUGACAAUGCAGCCUUCGGUCUGUGGCCAAAUUCCUGAGAUCCCUGGGCAGACCACUGGUGUAAGUCCAAAAGUCCAAAGGCCGAAGAACCUGGAGUCUGAUGUCCAAAGUAAGGAAGUAUCCAGCAUGGGAGAAAAAUCAAAGCCAGCAGACUCAGCAAGUCAACUUAUCCCUUCUUCUGCCUGCUUUGUUCUAGCCGGGUUGUAGCUGAUUGGAUGGUGCUGACCCACAUUGACGAUGGGUCUUCCUCUUGCAGUCCACCAACUCAAAUGUUCAUCUUCUCUGGCAACACCCUCACAGACACACCCAGAAACAAUACUUUACCAGCUAUCUAGGCAUCCUUCAAUCUAAUCAAGUUGACACUUAAUAUUAACCAUUGCACAGAACUACUUACAGGAAAUGAAACCACAAAUUUACAAGUAAAAGUGUGUAAACAAAUACAGUUAUGGCUGCCUUUGGAGUGCAAGCUUCAGGAUGUUUCUGAAAUAUGUCUUGGCUUUGCAGUUAGCACUUACAACUAAUAUAUUAUAUAUAUUUUGCUUAUUUAUUUUGUUUAUUACUAUUUUCCAUUUUAACAUUAGCUCAAUGAUUUUCAUCUGGUUUUUAAAAAUUCUAUCUUCUCAGUACCAGAUAAUACCUAGCUUCCAGUAGGCAUUCAAUAUGUAUUUACUGACUGAAUAAUUCAAUAGACAAAUGAGAUUGGAAGGUGUUUGAACUGAGACUGAGGUAUCCACAACAGAAAGGCAUAUUAUCUGUUGUUCUUUGGAUGUGAGUAUUGUGAGCUUUAAAGUUGUAAUUCUACUAGAUUCUGUGGAAGAACAUUUUCUUUCACAAAAUGAACUGAAGGUGAGAGUCACCAUUAGUUGUGAAAAUUUUGAGUUAGAAUUGAUGUAUCUUAGUUGGAAGAAAAAAAAAAACCUGGAAAGAAAUAGACCAACAUUGACAGUAAAAUGGAUUGUGUGAUUUUUUUAUGCUCCUUCUUACUUUUCUGUAUUUUACAAAUUUUCAACAACAAAGAUGAACUACUUUUGAAGACAGAACAAAAACAAAAAAGAAGUGGAAAACUAUUGUGCCAUUAAAUUUGUUGUUGCUGUUGUUGUUUUGUGUUUUUUUGAGACAAGGUCUUGCUCUGCCCCCUAAGCUGGAGUGCAGUGGUGCGAUCAUGGCUCACAAUAUCCUUGAACUCCCAACUCAAGCGAUCCUCCCACCUCAGCCUCCAGAGUACCUAGGACUAUAGGCAUGUGACACCACGCCCAGCUAAUUUUCUUUUUUAGAGAUGGGUUCUCACUGUGUUGCCUAGGCUGGUCUUGAAUGCCAGGCCUCAAGUGACCUCCUCCCUCAGCCUCCAAAAGUAUUGGGAUUACAGGCAUGGGCCACCACACCUGGUUCCAUUAAGUUUGUUAAAAAGCAGCAUCUUACUAGUAAUUAAUAUCAGAAUAUAUGAAUUAGAAGUAAAAGAUGUAUAACUGCACACUUAGGCACACAUAAAAUCAAACCACGUUUUCUUCUGUUUUGAAUAUAACUACUGAAAAAAUCUAUAUUUGAAUAAAUGACAUAUUCUUCUUUCCUUGUGUUAUUAAUAGUGGUUCCAUGGCAUCCCAUCGACAUAUAGUUUUUUUUUCUUCUUUAAAAAAGUAUAGAGAUGGGAUCUCACUAUAUUGCCCAGGCUCGUCCUGAACUCCUGAUCUCAAGAGAUCCUCCCACCUCAGCCUUUCAAAGUGCUGGGAUUAUAGGGAUGAGCCACUGCACCCGGCCCCACAUAUAGAUUUUUGAGUAUAAGUUUAAUUAUUGAAAUAGUUUUGACUAUAUGACCUUUAAGUUACCUUUGACUCUUAUUCUCUGCCACACUAAAUUGGGCUUUAUUUACAUCAAAGGAUUGUGAAAACUAAAUAACGUGCAGAUAUAUUUUCAUACAUGAGAAGACACUCUAAAUUAUAAAGGCCCACAUACGUUAAAUAAUAUUAUUUAUUAAUUAUCGGAAAAUUGGUUGGAAGAAUACCUCCCAGGACCUAGUCUAGUUCUCUCAGCCUCCCCGUUGGUGGCUGUUUUCAACUUGGAGGGAGCUGGGUGGAAUCUUUACUUGUCUGGGAAUAAACGGGAAUAAGGGAACACUUUUUUCCUGUGCUGUGAGGCAUCAGUCUGUAGGACACAGUUUAAACAGAGGAGACUCCAGGCCCAUAACAUAUGUAAAUGCCUGUGCCAAGGGAGUAAGACCUGAUGGAAAACUUUCCUGGAGUGUGGGGCUGCCCCAGCAUGGGUCCAAAGGAGGCAUUUCCCUACAAGUUUGCUAACUUGGGAAAACUCCCAGCUAAGGGAACCCAAAUCAAGUUUGUCUCUUCUGGAAUGAUACUGGUUUGCGUUCUGUUCAGAGGCCUGCCACCCCAAAUUAUUGAGAUCGUGGAGGGCAUUCGAUGGCCUGUUUUAUCGU
RNAcentral lists this long non-coding RNA (17034 nucleotides) under Homo sapiens (human). RNAcentral describes it as "HSALNT0310871". Lineage: Eukaryota; Metazoa; Chordata; Mammalia; Primates; Hominidae. The record is from RNAcentral.